AUUGAACGCUGGCGGAAUGCUUUACACAUGCAAGUCGAACGGCAGCACGGACUUCGGUCUGGUGGCGAGUGGCGAACGGGUGAGUAAUGUAUCGGAACGUGCCCAGUCGUGGGGGAUAACGUAGUGAAAAUUACGCUAAUACCGCAUACGAUCUAUGGAUGAAAGCGGGGGAUCGCAAGACCUCGCGCGAUUGGAGCGGCCGAUAUCAGAUUAGGUAGUUGGUGGGGUAAAGGCCCACCAAGCCAACGAUCUGUAGCUGGUCUGAGAGGACGACCAGCCACACUGGAACUGAGACACGGUCCAGGCUCCGACGGGAGGCAGCAGUGGGGAAUUUUGGACAAUGGGCGAAAGCCUGAUCCAGCCAUUCCGCGUGCAGGAUGAAGGCCCUCGGGUUGUAAACUGCUUUUGUACAGAACGAAAAGGUUUCUACUAAUACUAGGAGCUCAUGACGGUACUGUAAGAAUAAGCACCGGCUAACUACGUGCCAGCAGCCGCCGUAA
RNAcentral lists this ribosomal RNA (500 nucleotides) under uncultured bacterium. Its description in RNAcentral is "partial 16S ribosomal RNA". It matches the Rfam family "Bacterial small subunit ribosomal RNA", at positions 30 to 523 of the family's 1533-position model. The record is from RNAcentral.